This 253-nucleotide ribosomal RNA is filed under the name uncultured bacterium. RNAcentral describes it as "partial 16S ribosomal RNA". It matches the Rfam family "Bacterial small subunit ribosomal RNA", at positions 524 to 776 of the family's 1533-position model. The record is from RNAcentral.
UACGAGGGGUGCAAGCGUUAUUCGGAAUAAUUGGGCGUAAAGGGUGCGUAGACGGCCUGUUAAGUCUGUUGUUAAAUUCUCCGGCUCAACCGGGGGGCUGCAAUGGAAACUGGCGGACUAGAGGGUGAGAGAGAGAAGUGGAAUUCCCGGAGUAGCGGUAAAAUGCGUAGAUCUCGGGAGGAACACCGAUGGCGAAGGCAGCCCCCUGGGCCAACACUGACGCUCAGGCACGAAAGCGUGGGGAGCAAACAGG